UCCCUGGUAGCUCAGAGGUUAAAGUGUCUGCCUGGAAUGCGGGAGUCCCAGGUUUGAUCCCUGGGUUGGGAA
RNAcentral lists this transfer RNA (72 nucleotides) under Bos taurus (domestic cattle). It matches the Rfam family "tRNA". From Rfam's summary of the family: Transfer RNA (tRNA) molecules are approximately 80 nucleotides in length. Their secondary structure includes four short double-helical elements and three loops (D, anti-codon, and T loops). Further hydrogen bonds mediate the characteristic L-shaped molecular structure. tRNAs have two regions of fundamental functional importance: the anti-codon, which is responsible for specific mRNA codon recognition, and the 3' end, to which the tRNAs corresponding amino acid is attached (by aminoacyl-tRNA synthetases). tRNAs cope with the degeneracy of the genetic code in two manners: having more than one tRNA (with a specific anti-codon) for a particular amino acid; and 'wobble' base-pairing, i.e. permitting non-standard base-pairing at the 3rd anti-codon position. The record is from Rfam by way of RNAcentral. Lineage: Eukaryota; Metazoa; Chordata; Mammalia; Artiodactyla; Bovidae.